GGAAACCAUAGAGCUGUGGCACCACCUGAUCCCAUUCCGAACUCAGAAGUGAAACACAGUAUCGCCGAUGGUAGUUUGGGGUCUCCCCAUGCGAGAGUAGGUCAUUUCCAGGC
Molecule: ribosomal RNA, 113 nt
Filed under: Shewanella sp. SR44-4
Lineage: Bacteria; Pseudomonadati; Pseudomonadota; Gammaproteobacteria; Alteromonadales; Shewanellaceae
Source: RNAcentral